This 1152-nucleotide long non-coding RNA is filed under the name Marmota monax (woodchuck). The record is from RNAcentral. Lineage: Eukaryota; Metazoa; Chordata; Mammalia; Rodentia; Sciuridae.
AUCAAUAUCCCCUCUUUGAUUCAUCAGAGAAGUGAGGUCACAGGGUAAACUGAUGCCCCCCAAAUUAGAGAGUCAGACAGGUAGAUACAGAGAAUCACAACUUACUGAAGCAGAAACUCACAAACAAAAACUUCAGUGGAAACCAGUACUGGGACAGGAAAACCUUAACUGUAAUUGACAAAUUGGUAGAGACUCAGCAUGAACAAAUGUAAGAGUUAAAAACUAUAGGAGCCUGCUGUGAUGGCAUACACCUUUAAUCCCAGUAGCUCAGGAGGCUGAGGCAGGAGAAUUUCAAGUUCACAGCCAGCUUCAGCAAAAGCAAGGAAGUAAGCAAUUCAGUGAGAACCUGUCUCUAAAUUAAAUACAAAAUAGGGCUGGGGAUGUGGCUCAGUUGCCGAGUGCCCCUAAGUUCAAUCUCUGGCACCCCCCCCCCAACAAAAAAAACAACUAGAUGGACCAGUUAUGGGGGGAGCCCCAUGCUUUUAUGUGUUUUAUCUCCAGGAACUCGUUCAGACCCUCACAGUGGAUAGAGUGUUAGAGAAAAAUCUCUUCAUGCUUCAGGCAGGAAGAGAGAAAAUAUCUCAUUUUGAAAUACUCCAGAACAUUCUGUUCUUAACAAGGUCUACCUUCAUGAAAAAUUAUUUUAUCAUGCUGGAAUUUUCUGAGACUGACUCACCUAAGGGAAGGGGAAAAUACCCAACUCCAUCCUCCUUUAGACAUCCUGUUCCACUUAAGGGAUAGAAGGAGUGGACCAAGGAGCACUGAUGAAAUUUACAGUCCAGAUGCAUACAAUCACUAACAGACUGAAAUGUAAUAUAAGACUUUAGAACACUUUACCUCCAUUCAUACCUUAUUAUUACAUUACUAAAGGCUUACUUACCAGUUACUUUGACCAAGUACAUCAUGUCCAGUUAUAAAGAUAAAUUUACAGGACAUACUAAAAAUCACAAAGACAUUUUAUAAAUACAAGAGUAAACAUCAGAACCAAACAUAGCAGGAAUGUUGGGAAUAUCAAAUAGGGACUUUAAAACAGCUAUGAUUAAUGUGCUAAGUGUACUAAUAGAUAAAGUAUAUAGUACUCAAGAACAGGUGUGCAGACAGAGGAAAAUCCUAAGGAAAAAAACAAGAAGAAAUACUAGAGAUCAAAAACAC